Molecule: RNase P RNA, 413 nt
Filed under: Corynebacterium ammoniagenes
Lineage: Bacteria; Bacillati; Actinomycetota; Actinomycetes; Mycobacteriales; Corynebacteriaceae
Also listed under: 1 other name
Description: RNase P RNA component class A
Rfam family: Bacterial RNase P class A
About the family: Ribonuclease P (RNase P) is a ubiquitous endoribonuclease, found in archaea, bacteria and eukarya as well as chloroplasts and mitochondria.
Source: RNAcentral
UGAGUCGGCCGGGUGAACGCGGCGAUUGAACUGCUCCGUUUGCCGGGGUAAGCAAAAGCCGAGGAAAGUCCGGACUUUAUCGAGCACAGUGAUUGCUAACAGCAACCCAGGGCAACCUGCGGGCAAGUGCAACAGAAAGUAGACCGCCGCGUGCAAGCGCGGUAAGGGUGAAACGGUGCGGUAAGAGCGCACCAGCGUCCCAAGUGAUUGGGGCGGCUGGGUAAACCCCACUGAAAGCAAGGCAUCAUGGCCCGUUAUUAGCGGGCUUGAUCAGGUGUUGGAGAGCUGCUCGCUCGAACCUGAAGGUAGCCGCUUGAGGCGUGUUGGCAACGACACGUCCAGAUGGAUGUUCACCGCUGCGUGGGUAUUGCACCUGCGCAGUACAGAAUCCGGCUUAUAGGCUGGCUCAUUCU